Molecule: unclassified non-coding RNA, 3176 nt
Filed under: Portunus trituberculatus (swimming crab)
Lineage: Eukaryota; Metazoa; Arthropoda; Malacostraca; Decapoda; Portunidae
Description: gRB2-associated-binding protein 1-like, transcript variant X2
Source: RNAcentral
GUGUGGGCGGCCGCGGACCAAUGGCAGGGGGGCUGAGUGGGUGGUGAGUCUGUGUACAGUGACGGGCUGUGGCGGACUGGGCGCUGAUCAAGCCUUUUGCACGGCAGGGAAUAUGUGUGUUCACGUCUCCAGCAGGCGGAGAUGGUUCCUGGCAGCAUGGAGAUAGUUCACGAAGGAAUGCUGAAGAAGGCGCCGCCCCCGAAGCGCUUAUGGCGGGCGAAAUGGAGGAUGCGAUGGUUUGUUCUGCGGUCCGGGGAGCUUCCAGGCCAGUACUUCCUGGAAUAUUACACAGACCAGACACGACGCAAAUUGAAAGGCAAGAUAGACCUGGACCAGUGUGAUCAGGUUGAUGCAGGCAUAGCAUUUUCCAAUCCCAAGUUGGAGUAUAAAUACAUGUUUGACAUCAAGACUCCCAAGCGAGUGUAUUUCCUAUGUGCUGAGACUGAGCAGGAGAUGAACCGAUGGGUGGACUGUGUAUGUCAUGUAUGUGGGCUCAAGAUAUACUCUCAAGAAGAUGAAUAUCCCCCAUUGCCUCUUGAUCACAUUUCUCCAACACCAUCUGCCACCCCUCCCACUCCCCUACACUCCCUACCCCAUGAUCCUGAAUUGGACUCCCCUUCUCUUUCACCCUCUUCACCUGGCUCGUCUAUUUCUGGGCCAUAUAUUCCCAUCAGCACCUGCUUCACUGGGAAGAGAACUCCCAAUACUAGUUCUAGUUUUCCUUUUGGUGAUGACAUACCACCAAUUCGAGGUUCAGAAAACCAUCGAUCGAGUAUUCCCAAUGAAAUGGCACCACCAAUACCUGUGAUAUGUCCCGACUCCCAGCCACCACUCAUGCAGGCACCCUCACCUCCUGCUGUCAACACUGGAGCAAUUCCCAGGGAGACCUAUGAUGGCCACAGACAAAUGAGACCUGGCACAUCAGAGGAUACUCUCAGUGUUAAGUCACCUCUGGGGACAGAUGGAAGUAGUGUAUUUAGUGAAGAUGAGUUGCCAUCUCAUUCAAAUAAGAUAGAAACUAAGUUUUUCGGUGAGGGAAGUAGAAUAGUUACUGGGAAUACGUAUGCAAAGGAAGGACACCAGGAAACUCCUGCUGGAGGAGUAGGAGCUCUAGUAAGUGAUCUACAUGGCAUUGGCCUGUCAGAUGAUGACCACCAGAAGGCAGCACCACCCAGACCACCCAAACCUGCACACCUAGCAGAAAUUCCUCACCAGACAUACCAGAACUUGGAAACUGUGUCAAGGACUGCCUUAGUGAGGAGAAAUAGUUCAAAUGAAAAGAUGAAAAAUGGACUUGGAUGCUCUCUUACAGUUAGUGAUGUUAAUAUUGUAGCUUCUGGCCCAGAACCUUCACCAGCCUCUGUGAACAGUUCCUUGCCUCCUUCUUCGCCUAGAGAGAUUAGUGAGGACCCUCACGGAGUGGUAAUUAGGUCGCAGCAAUUCUCAGAAGCAGCAAGUCCCAAGUCAGCCGACAGACCCAAACAGAGGUACUGUUUCAACAAUGCAGUUCUGACACCCAAACAGAGCCAGGUAUUCUCGUAUGACCUGCGACACCAUGAUAAAUCGGGAGACCAUGAGCCAAUAGACCCAAGAAUAUCCCCUGCUGGAGCAUAUUCCAAUAUUAGUCAGACGAACAGAAGUCCUCCAGCUGUUGACCGAGGACUUAAGCCUAGGAAGACUUCAGAGGGGAGCAACUUGGGCUCCUCGGAUCUGUCUCCACCUCCCUCUGGUGGCGGGAUAUCAGAUCUACUGGGAGCUGUUGGAGGUUCACCAGCAUUGCCUUCAUCUGCACCUCCAGUAGUAGACAGGAACCUGAAGCCUGUCAAGAUCCCUCCAGAACCCUUAACCAGAGCGUUUGAGUUGGACCCGCCCCCGACACGAAGCACGAAACACAAGUCCCGGGCAGCACCUUCGCCCACUCCCCCCUUCAUGCAUAAUGGACGAGGCAAUGCAGACAGUGGCGAAGAGAACGACCUUGUGUCCAGCCCUGACAGCCGGCGGAAUUCUUCAAAUGCAGAAGAGCAGGCUGACGGGGUGGAGAGAGGAGACCGAAGCAAGGUGAGGACUUCAGAAUACUGGCUAGACCAUUACUUCUUUCGACACCACGCCCGUACCACCUUCUCUCCAGUCGUCGCGCCACCACCGACUCCUUGUGUCUACGCAGCUUCGUGUCCGUCUGUGCCUUGUCGUCGGGUGUGUUUCGUGCAGAGGAGCAGUGGGGAGCUUGAUCUACAUGACGGUGAUUUUUCGUGCGAUGGAGUGACGUGCCGCUGAUAUAUGGAGACCAGCGGACCACAGUGGAGCACGGCACGGCACGGCACGGCACGGGUCAGGAGCACAGGGCGGAAAGGAGUUGACCAUCCAGAGUUCUCGUUCAACAGCUAAUAAGCCGCCUCUACCAUAAAGGAGACUACCUCGCACUACGGUUUCACUAACAAUGUCCACUGCAGACGCUUAUGCUUCCGCCACCGUCGCAAAAUCGGGAAGGACACUGCGUUGCAUCGCGCGCACACUGUACACUCUUCCGCUACCGCUCAGGGAUACUGGCUGAGUGGAUGACAGUGAGGCAAAGGUGUUCUGGAGGUCGCUGACGACGAGAACCAGCAGAUGACGGCGGGCACUAGAGAUUAAACUAACCAGGAGUUGACGACCGAAAGGCCUGACUGCAGCGAUCCAGUGCCUCCUGCACCAUCAAGGAGGGUAUCUGGCUUCGCACGGCGCCUUCACUAACCUCCCCCUCCAACACAAACCCCGCCGACUGAAGAGCCGCUACUGCCACUAGGUGGGGGCACUGCCUCGCUUGGUAUCUUCACUGCCGCCGCCUAGCGAGGGAUUCAGCCUCGCAUCGCACAUCCUGCCCACUCAACACUUGCUGCCGCAGCCACCAUCGCCGCCGCCACCACCACCACCACCGCAUCAGCAAGGAGGAUUCUGCACGGCACCUUGACCCUGCGCGGCUAACGCUUAAUGUUAAUCCUGGUGUUGGUGGCCAGGGAGGAAAUAAAAUUGCGGGUUGGCAUUUUAGUCUUCCCUCUGUUAUGUUGAUGUAUGUGCUUGGAUAGCUGUGGUGUUGUGGUGCCAUUACUCUAUUGUAAUAGUGUCUUCAUUGUCUCAUUGUGGUAUUGUUACUGUACUUAGAGAUGUUGUCGCUACUGAAUAAUAAGCUAUGAAGGAUU